GAGACAGCAGCAGCCGCGGGAAUACGUAGGGUGCAAGCGUUAAUCGGAAUUACUGGGCGUAAAGCGUGCGCAGGCGGUUAUAUAAGUCAGAUGUGAAAUCCCCGGGCUCAACCUGGGAACUGCAUUUGAGACUGUAUGGCUAGAGUGUGUCAGAGGGGGGUAGAAUUCCACGUGUAGCAGUGAAAUGCGUAGAUAUGUGGAGGAAUACCGAUGGCGAAGGCAGCCCCCUGGGAUAACACUGACGCUCAUGCACGAAAGCGUGGGGAGCAAACAGGAUUAGAGACCCCUGUAGUCCCUGUCUCUUAUAA
RNAcentral lists this ribosomal RNA (308 nucleotides) under uncultured bacterium. Its description in RNAcentral is "partial 16S ribosomal RNA". It matches the Rfam family "Bacterial small subunit ribosomal RNA", at positions 505 to 809 of the family's 1533-position model. The record is from RNAcentral.